Echinops telfairi (small Madagascar hedgehog) is the source of this 390-nucleotide long non-coding RNA. RefSeq lists it as uncharacterized. The record is from RefSeq and is a predicted model, not a curated record. NCBI's taxonomy places the organism in Eukaryota, Metazoa, Chordata, Mammalia, Afrosoricida, Tenrecidae. The transcript has 2 exons.
GACGCGGAGGGCUUCUCUGUGCCCUGCGCGCGCCAUGCUUUCGCUCGCGCCCUGGCUUUUUCCUGACCAGUGUGCCACGGAAAAGGGAAGUGGAAAUGGAAACAAAUCUUAGGAAAUGAUUCCCGCCCACGCUGAAGAGGACGCCGGUUUCGUUUCUGAGUUACAACACCGACAGACAACUGUUUCUCAAUUCUACAGUGCCCUCGCGAAGGAAACGCUUGGAUUUGAAAUCAGAAAGUUGCCUCGCUUUCCAGUGAUCUCGUGGGCACUCCUGGUCUUUGGAAGUGCACCGGAGGAGUUUUACCUAAGAAUAUUGAGGAUUCCCGCAAAGCGCUGGAUACUAAAACAUUUUUUCCUUCUCUGAAAUGAAGUAAUUCUUGAAAUCCUGGA